Non-coding RNA from Prunus avium (sweet cherry), 187 nucleotides. NCBI's taxonomy places the organism in Eukaryota, Viridiplantae, Streptophyta, Magnoliopsida, Rosales, Rosaceae. The record is from RefSeq and is a predicted model, not a curated record.
CAAAACAUGGCAUCCUCAAAGGCUUUUCUUCUUCUUGGUCUUGUCUUUGCUGUUCUCCUCAUCUCCUCUGAGGUCUCAGCUGCUCCAACUCAGGAGAGUACAGUCAACAGUGAUGAUUUUCUAGAUGACCAUGGCCACGGACAUGGAGGUUAUGGCCACGGACAUGGAGGGUAUGGCCACGGACAUG